UCACGGUCUGCAGUUAACAACAUGGUGACCGAAAGAAUGGCUUCGGCAGUGCUAGAGGUACUCAAAGCGGUGUCUGUGGAGCCUGUGAUGCUGGUAGACGGAGCGUGCAAUCAGGCGAUGCUUCUCUUCAUCGAGAACGUCCAGAUGAACAAGAUAUGUUCCAUUAACCUUGGACUCGCGGAUCAGGUGUGCAAUAACUUAUCGGCUCACGAAGAGCUAAAUGUUCUGGUCCAGAGAGAGUUCAGUGUCUUCACCUUCUACAACAGCAUCGUCAUGUCUAUUAUUCCACUUAUCUUCGUGCUGUUUAUGGGUGCUUGGAGUGAUAAAUAUGGCAGGAAGAUCCCCUUGUUAAUGACACUUACUGGUCACGUGCUAUACGCCGGAGGAUAUCUUCUGAGUAACUGGCAGACAUCUUGGCCCGUUGAGGUCAUCUACUUCGUCACCGUCUUGGAGGCUUUGGGCGGCGGAAACGUGGGCCUCUUGUCUACCACCAUCAGCUACAUCAGUGACAUAAGUCCCGAGACAACUCGCACUUCUCGCGUCAGUACAGCAAACUCUCUGUGGUACCUGGGAGGCCCUGUGGGCACCCUGGUUGGGGCGUUGGUUAUCAAGUAUGGCGGCUACAACUUGGCCCUCAUGUUGGUUCUGCUGGCCUACCUCUCGGCCGUCCUCUAUGUGGUCUUCGUCAUCAAAGAGUCACACGGACCCUUCGCCAAGAUCACUUUGCAGGCUCAAGACUCUGUCAAGCAGGAAGCAAGUUCCGAGACCAAGAAUGUAUCGAAGCUUCGCAUGGCGUCCGAGUUCUUCAACUGGCGACGUGUUGUGGAGUCCUUCAAGACGGCGUUCAGACGGCGCGAGGGUAACACCCGAAAAGUUCUCCUGGCUAUAGUCUUCAGUAACAUGAUCCGUCGAGCCGCUAGAGGUUUCUUCAUGUACAUGUUCGUGCGUCGUGCGCUUAGUUGGGAGGCCACCGACUAUGGCUACUGGGCGACGUAUCGUAAUUUUUUCGCAGCCAUUGGUUCGUUGUUCCUGGUCCCGGUCCUGACGAAGUCGCUGGCAACCACGGACGUAUUACUAAUAUUACUAGGAUCUGCUUCCCUUAUCGGAGAAUACAUUUGUUACGGCCUUGUCAGCGGCGUGUCUCAGACGUUCCUCCUGUGGCUGGGACCUGUUGCAGGACUCAUCUCCAACGCCAGCGUCAUCGCCUUCAGAUCCAUGUCCACUAAGCUCGUCUGCAAAGAAGAAAAGGGUCGCAUCAGCGCUGUCAUGGCCGCCAUGAACGGCCUCAUGCCCAUGGUCGCCUACGCCGCCUAUUCACCUAUAUACUACGUGACGGUCGAGACCUUCCCCGCUGCGCAGUUCUUCUUCGGCGCCGCGCUCAACCUCUGCAUCAUAGUCAUGUUCACAAUACUUCAUCAUUCGUGUUCAUGUCCAUGCCUCAACUCCUACAAGUCCAAAGAUCUAGAAUCAGGUUCGAAAGUGAAUAAGAAAUUCUUUGAAGAGCUGAAGAAAAAAUACGCUUUCACUCUGCAACUAGCAACAAGAACCAUGAGUCAUUCUUCCAGAAGGUCCUCGGCGGAGAACAGCCUCGAAGAGACCAGGACAGAGGCCAAUGGCGUCCGACCGCUGGCGAAUCGCCCCGAACAAAUGCAUGCAACGACGCCCAUUAGUUUCCCCGGAAGCGAGGAAGACACGGAUAAGAAGAGGGACCCUCCCUCGGCGCAUCGCGACGGCGCUCAUGCGUCCAAUUCCGCGGAGGAGAGAGAAAGUGAGAGCUUUGGGAACAAACCGGAAGUGCAAUUGCCAAGGUGAUUUUAUCAUGCAUUUUCUGACAAGAUUCACAUUUUCAAGGCUAGCAAGUACCAUCCAGUUGUUGGUGCGAUGAUACGGGUCAAGAUUUAAGUUAUCGAUUACUUGAACUGCAUGGGAUAAGUUGGAAGUACUGUGUGUUGUAAGACAGUGAGUCUGAAUGUAAGUACUGUAGUAAAAAAAAAAAAAUGCUGUACAAACUAGAUUUUACAGUUAGGUAUUUGAUUUUUUAUGAAAUACUAAUAUUUUCACUCAUAUUGUAACUCGAUAAAUAUAUGGCAUAUUUUAGUUUUAUCUGUUCACUAGGGGUGUGUGUGCGUGUGUAUGUGUGCGUAUGGAAGGGUGCUUACCUACUAAUGAAGCUGAGUUAGUAAUGAAUUACAAACGUAUAAAUACAUUUUCACAUCUUAAUAAUCAGACGCCAUACAUUAUUGGAUUAGACCUAAAGAUAUUUCCCAUUAACUUACCUUGUUCUGCCAUUCUACCAAGACAGCAGAAUGUUUUGCCAGUCUCCAAGAGGGAUGCAUUCCCCCUCCCCUAUUUUCCUUCCCCUAGAUUCAAGAAGUAUAUGUUGCUAUGAUCCAUGCAUAUCUCAUACAUCUUGGCAGAUAAGAUAGAGUAGUCAGAUACAAGAUCCGACUUGCUUGGGUUUUAUGUUGUUGUUUUACAGCUUUUCAAAGCGAAGGCUGUAUUUACAUGUGAUUUGACAGAUACCAUAGAGGAAGAUGUUUAGGUUAUCAGUCAGGAGAAGCAUGGAAUUCAGACAAAAAUGACUACACCCUUUGCAAGAACCUUUGCAAGACUAAAGGGGGUGUCACACAAGGGAAACAUUUCUUGCUACAAUCUACAAUCUCUUCACGUAUUGUGUAUUGCAUAUCACACGAAGUGCGAGCAAUUCACUCUGUGCAUGUAUCAGUAAACAACAGGAAUGCUGCACGGAUACAUGUCUGGGCUGGCUUCAAAACAUGUUUGUAACAUGAUAACUGACAGUAAUACUUAGUAAAUUUCUUAGUUCCCUAGAACGAGACAAUAGUCAAUAUCAUUAUUCUUUAUCAAUGUAUUGAUAAGAAUUUGAAAAGCACUACAUACUGGGACUUGUCAUGUUCUGGCUAAUUAUAUUUAUAUAAA
This 2937-nucleotide unclassified non-coding RNA is filed under the name Penaeus japonicus. RNAcentral describes it as "proton-coupled folate transporter-like, transcript variant X1". Lineage: Eukaryota; Metazoa; Arthropoda; Malacostraca; Decapoda; Penaeidae. The record is from RNAcentral.